GACGAACGCUGGCGGCGCGCUUAACACAUGCAAGUCGAACGGAAAGGCCUGCUUUCCCUUGUGGAUUGCGGGUACUCGAGUGGCGAACGGGUGAGUACCACGUGAGUGAUCUGCCCCCAACUUGGGUAUAAGCCUGGGAAACUGGGUCUAAUUCCCGAUAGGACUGCAGGGUGGUGCCUGUGGUGGAAAACGAUUUUCUAGUGGUUGGGGAUGAGCUCGCGGCCUAUCAGCUUGUUGGUGGGGUAAUGGCCUACCAAGGCGGCGACGGGUAGCCGGCCUGAGAGGGUGGACGGCCACAUUGGGACUGAGAUACGGCCCAGACUCCUACGGGAGGCAGCAGUGGGGAAUAUUGCACAAUGGGCGGAAGCCUGAUGCAGCGACGCCGCGUGGGGGAUGACGGCCUUCGGGUUGUAAACUCCUUUCGACCGCGAGGAAGCCACCUGGUUGGAAGGGUGGUGACGGUAGUGGUAGAAGAAGCACCGGCUAACUACGUG
Molecule: ribosomal RNA, 494 nt
Filed under: uncultured bacterium
Lineage: Bacteria
Description: partial 16S ribosomal RNA
Rfam family: Bacterial small subunit ribosomal RNA
Source: RNAcentral